RNAcentral lists this ribosomal RNA (476 nucleotides) under Candidatus Scalindua wagneri. Its description in RNAcentral is "bacterial SSU rRNA". It matches the Rfam family "Bacterial small subunit ribosomal RNA", at positions 365 to 832 of the family's 1533-position model. Lineage: Bacteria; Pseudomonadati; Planctomycetota; Candidatus Brocadiia; Candidatus Brocadiales; Candidatus Scalinduaceae. The record is from RNAcentral.
UUCGCAAUGCCCGAAAGGGUGACGAAGCGACGCCGCGUGAGCGAAGAAGGCCUUAGGGUUGUAAAGCUCUGUCGAGGGUUAUGAAAUGUAAACAGGUUAAUACCCUGUUUGUUUGACAAAAGACCAAGAGGAAGUCACGGCUAACUCUGUGCCAGCAGCCGCGGUAAUACAGAGGUGGCAAGCGUUGUUCGGUAUUAUUGGGCGUAAAGAGCACGUAGGUGGUUUUAUAAGUCAGGUGUGAAAGCCUUCUGUUCAAAGGAAGAACGGCAUCUGAAACUGUAGAUCUUGAGUGUAGGAGGGGAGAGUGGAACUUCUGGUGGAGCGGUGAAAUGCGUAGAUAUCAGAAGGAACGUCGGCGGCGAAAGCGACUCUCUGGCCUAUUACUGACACUGAGGUGCGAAAGUUAGGGGAGCAAACGGGAUUAGAUACCCCGGCAGUCCUAACCGUAAACGAUGGGCACUAAGUAGAGGGGUUUU